Molecule: ribosomal RNA, 974 nt
Filed under: Triticum aestivum (bread wheat)
Lineage: Eukaryota; Viridiplantae; Streptophyta; Magnoliopsida; Poales; Poaceae
Description: partial small subunit ribosomal RNA
Source: RNAcentral
GCCAGGAUUACAAAGGCACCAAGAUACAGACGACAUGCAAAGCAAAGCGAAAAGGAAGAUACAAGGAACUUGGUGGAACAACACAAUGGCAACAGCAGAAACACUGAAGUCGACGCCCAGCACUACGCCUACACCAACAAGCCAACUAAGAACACAGAAGGAGGGCCACACCGAGCAAGCAUCGGGCGCCGGCUGCAUCCACAGGCCAAACAUGGGCAACACUUGAGCUGUCUCCACCGUCGCAAAGGGCCACUACCCUUUCUCCCAGGCUUGGUGAGUGCCGCACCGGCGAACAGCAGAGUGGCUACCACAAAGCCCAACUCAAGGUUUCCAGCUGCCGUAGGAGAAGCAGACGGAGCUGACCAGCGAACCACAAAGGACCAACCAGAUGAGCACCAAGCCGGCAGUGGCAGCACGGAGCAUGGGACGCAAGUUGUCGAACGAAGGCGCACACCGAUGGAGAAGACCAAAGAAGGCAUCACAAAGCACCGGGCGAAGCCGAGCAUGAAGUCGCAGGAAGACCAGGCCGUCAUGCUUCGGAGCCAAGCCACCAGUCGCUCCACCCCCAAGAGCACAUCCUGGUCGCCGCCUUCAAGAAGAGCACAUCCUGGUCGCCGCCUUCAAGAAGGAUCACAGCAUCAAGGUGUCGUCGAUGCCCAGAUCAGGGGAGAGCCGACUUUAGCCGGAGCUCAGGGGGGAGGCGGAUGGGAGAGGAGCCACCCAAAAGCCUCCAAGAAGGGGAUCGGCGCCAAAGGCGUCGACUUUGGGGGGCCGCCGCGCCGGCCAGGGGUUUCCCCCGGAUCCUCGCCCAAACGCCAGAUCCGGCCAGCAAUCACCAAGAAACGCCGACCGCAACCGCCGGGGACCAGCGCCGGCACGGAUCAGAGCAGAUCGGGCGGCGUCGAAGCUUCUCCAUGGUGGACCAGCGGCCAGCGAGGCGCCACCGCAACACCAACGUCCGCGACCACCACCUG